This 426-nucleotide ribosomal RNA is filed under the name Bartonella sp. TERI 7026. RNAcentral describes it as "partial 16S ribosomal RNA". The record is from RNAcentral. Lineage: Bacteria; Pseudomonadati; Pseudomonadota; Alphaproteobacteria; Hyphomicrobiales; Bartonellaceae.
GGUUGAAGCUAGCGGCAGGCUAACCAUGCAAGCGAACGGAUAUCGGUUAGCUUCUCAAGAUGGGGAGAGNGGUGCACGNUUCUUAACACGUGCCAUCCACGUCGANCAGGGAUAGCCUCUCGAAGAACCAUAAACACCGUACAGGAGAACGGAGGGAUNUUCGGUUUUACUAUUUAUGGACAGAGGUCGGGUCGCUUUGUUUAGGGGUAUGGCACACUAAGGCCAUACUAUGUAACGAUUAGGGGUCUCAGACAAACUUCCUAAACCCUGCCAAACUCUACGGGAGGCAAAAGGAGGAUAUUGACAAUGUUGGAACUUGCCAACAUCCCCAUAUGCCGAGGCAUAUGCUGCCCAUCGGUUUUGCCGGCUGAGGAUAUCCUCCUGCUUUUUGAGGUAAUUAGGAAGAUAGGUCUCACCCUGCCGGGG